This is a long non-coding RNA of Malurus melanocephalus (red-backed fairy wren), 982 nucleotides long. RefSeq lists it as uncharacterized. Lineage: Eukaryota; Metazoa; Chordata; Aves; Passeriformes; Maluridae. The transcript is spliced from 3 exons. The record is from RefSeq and is a predicted model, not a curated record.
GGGUUAUUUGAGCUUUGUUGGCCUCGGUGCCUUCUGCCAGACCAUCACCACUGCUGUGCUAACAGGUUUGAUUACAGGUUUAAUCUUAAACACCAAACUGCUCAAGGCUGUGCCUGUCUCAAAGUACUUUGAUGAUCAGUUUUACUGGGAGUUUCCCCACUUGUCAGUUGGAUUUUGAAUGGAGGAUCCCAGCUGACAGACAGGACCAAGAUAAAAUUUUCAUCUUUGUCACCAGAAAAAAUUGAACUGCUAUGAUGGAUUAAAAGAGAGCACUGAAAUAUCAACUCCCAGGCCCACAAAAGCCACCCCAAUGGACACUCAAAAAACUGGUGUUAAACUGUUCUAGUUGUUCUUGAAAGAUACAGAGUGUAAAUUCACAGGUGCAAACUUAAAAUGCAUUUUGCUUUUCUGCUCCCUUGGCCUUCAAUAUUUUUUUUUUUGUAAGAUAUGUACAAAAAUGUUGGCUGCAUUCACAGCUUAUCAAUCCAAAUGCUUGGAAACAUUAAACYAUUUUUAGCUCUCGAGUUUACAAGCCAAAAGGAUGGAUUUUAAAGUGUAAUUUUUCCAGGAGCACUACUUAUCUAGCAAAGUACUCGAGUUUUAAAGCUGAAUUGAUUCUGUUGAAAGCCUUGACAAGCCAGGAUUUGAUGAGUGAGCUGGAGCAGGGCCAGAGCUCUGCAUCCUGCCAGACUGAACUCCUGGAAAAAUCUGUCAUUACUUGGCUGGGGCUGGAGGUUCUGAGGGUAAGAAUUUAAAUUGUGGAUGGUGCUGCUGCCAAAUGUGAAAUACAAACUCAGGGCUGUCUCUGUGAGGUGACAGCUUGGCCCAGCACAGAGGAACUGGGAGGACUGGGAGGACUGGGAGGAUGGGCUCAGUGCUGCCAGCACCCAAUUUUGGAAGUGCUUUACUCCCAGACAAGCAGGGCCUUUGGGGACAGAGGAUUCUCUGCAAUUGAACCCUGGUUUUAAGUGGAUUGUGAAUC